This 787-nucleotide ribosomal RNA is filed under the name uncultured bacterium. RNAcentral's name for it is "SSU rRNA". It matches the Rfam family "Bacterial small subunit ribosomal RNA", at positions 577 to 1366 of the family's 1533-position model. The record is from RNAcentral.
GGAUAUUUAAGUGGGAUGUGAAAUCCCCGGGCUCAACCCGGGAACUGCAUUCCAAACUGGAUAUCUAGAGUGCAGGAGAGGAAAGCGGAAUUCCUAGUGUAGCGGUGAAAUGCGUAGAUAUUAGGAGGAACACCAGUGGCGAAGGCGGCUUUCUGGACUGUAACUGACACUGAGGCAUGAAAGCGUGGGUAGCAAACAGGAUUAGAUACCCUGGUAGUCCACGCCGUAAACGAUGGGUACUAGGUGUAGGAGGUAUCGACCCCUUCUGUGCCGUCGUUAACACAAUAAGUACCCCGCCUGGGGAGUACGGUCGCAAGACUAAAACUCAAAGGAAUUGACGGGGGCCCGCACAAGCAGCGGAGCAUGUGGUUUAAUUCGAAGCAACGCGAAGAACCUUACCUAGACUUGACAUCUCCUGAAUUACCCUUAACCGGGGAAGCCCUUCGGGGCAGGAAGACAGGUGGUGCAUGGUUGUCGUCAGCUCGUGUCGUGAGAUGUUGGGUUAAGUCCCGCAACGAGCGCAACCCUUAUUUUUAGUUGCUACCAUUCAGUUGAGCACUCUAAAGAGACUGCCCGGGUUAACCGGGAGGAAGGUGGGGAUGACGUCAAAUCAUCAUGCCCCUUAUGUCUAGGGCUACACACGUGCUACAAUGGUGAGAACAAGAGACGCAAGACCGCGAGGUGGAGCAAAUCUCACAAAACUCAUCCCAGUUCGGAUUGCAGGCUGAAACUCGCCUGCAUGAAGCCGGAGUUGCUAGUAAGUCGCGAAUCAGCAUGUCGCGGUGAA